UAAUGCAGCAAUUUUUUAAUAAAUAAAAUGACUAUGUUUACUUCACAUUUCAUAGUAUCAAUUAUUGGUUGCCAAAAACAAAAAUGACAAUUAAGGUUGUAACCGUCGGAAUUAUUUAGUGCAUUACGACCUUUGCUGAUCCGAGUUUUACACAGUUUGCAUGGUUUAAAGAGUGACUUCCCUUUACCAGCCAUGCCGUUAGAAUUUCUAUUCAAAUUUCGAUUCGUUUUUUCUAUAUUAUUUACAUGAAAUGGAAGGAGAGAUACCAAAACUCGGAAACCAGUGCAAAAUAAUUGCUGUGCAAAACACGUUGUAUCAAAAUCUUAUGUGGGUAUUCACUGGCUUUGGCGGGAACAGUGGUGGCCUCCGCAUUUGUUGCCGGUAAGGAUGAUACCCUCGACCACGUGAACUCGCAGGAGAUGGCUGGUAAUGACACCUUUCAGUGAUUGUUGGCCUUCGAACAAUGACUGGUUCAUUCUCCUUUCUAUUUUGAAUGGGAGGAACAACAAAAGCUGGAACAACAGCCCUUUUCUCCGCUUUGAACUCACGGAGUUCAUCAACUAAUUGGCCCAGCGCUAAGCCCAUCGUAUGAACCGCUGAUUUCAGUUCAAGAAUCUCAGAUUUGAGAUCAUUUAUACAAGUGUCACAAGUUGACGUCGACGAUGAAGAAGACGAAGACAUGGAAGAUACACUCCAUGGAGAUUUCGUAGGACACAAAAUUCUUUUAUUGGAAGAAUGUAAUGGUGACUCUGGAAAGUCAAAAGGUGACAAAUCGUGUUCACCUAACAUCUCGGGCAAAAUGUCAACAGUAGGGGUACUGUGAAUGGAAUUCGUUUUCAAGCCUGACGAUUCCAUUGCAGAUUUCAAAAUGUCUGAAGACUUACGACGACUGUUAAAAAUCAAACACGAAUCUUCUUUUGAAAAGCGAACAAUGUCCAAGGAAGUUGGAACAUAUGGAUUGACAUUUUUGAUUAAUUAAGCAUUUUCAUUUACGUUUUCAUUAUUAGCCAACAUGGCAUUUACAGUUGCCUCAUGUGGAGGAAAGUUACAUUUUUUAACAUGACGAUAUAAAUCCACUUCGGAUGCACACACAAAUUUGCAAAUUGCACAAUAAAAUGGAACUUUGUCCAAAGCGACGUGUUUUUUGUAAAAAUGAUCAAAAACUUUAGAUUUUUCGCCUUGAUAUUUUGGAAGGCAAUGUUGGCAUUCAAAUAUCCUGCCUCUAUUGUUGAUGUAAGACAUUCUGAAAAUACACAAAAUUUUGUUUUAAUACAUGUUAUAAUAUUGUAAUACAAUUAUUUUUAAUCUUUUUA
Long non-coding RNA from Dreissena polymorpha, 1313 nucleotides. RefSeq lists it as uncharacterized. The record is from RefSeq and is a predicted model, not a curated record. NCBI's taxonomy places the organism in Eukaryota, Metazoa, Mollusca, Bivalvia, Myida, Dreissenidae. The transcript is spliced from 2 exons.